GCUAGAGUGCAAUGGCGCAGUCUCGGCUCACCGCAACGUCUACCUCCCAGGUUCAAGCGAUUCUCCUGCCUCAGCCUCCCGAGUAGCUGGGAUUACAGGCAUGCGCCACCAUUCCUGGCUAAUUUUGUAUUUUUAGUAGAGAUGGGGUUUCUCCAUGUUGGUCAGGCUGGUCUCGAACACCCAACCUCAGGUUCCCCACAUUGGCAGACAAAAUUAGAAGCGGCACAGAAUGUUCUCUUAUGUAAAGAAAUUUUUGCACAGCUCUCUCGGGAAGCUGUUCAAAUUAAAUCACAAGUCCCUCACAUUGUGGUGAAAAACCAGAUUAUCUCUCAGCCCUUUCCGAGCUUGCAGUUAUCUAUUUCUUUGUGCCAUUCCUCAAAUGAUAAGAAAUCCCAAAAAUUUGCUACUGAGAA
RNAcentral lists this long non-coding RNA (413 nucleotides) under Homo sapiens (human). Its description in RNAcentral is "HSALNT0179802". Lineage: Eukaryota; Metazoa; Chordata; Mammalia; Primates; Hominidae. The record is from RNAcentral.